RNAcentral lists this ribosomal RNA (472 nucleotides) under Streptococcus intermedius. RNAcentral describes it as "bacterial SSU rRNA". It matches the Rfam family "Bacterial small subunit ribosomal RNA", at positions 28 to 474 of the family's 1533-position model. Lineage: Bacteria; Bacillati; Bacillota; Bacilli; Lactobacillales; Streptococcaceae. The record is from RNAcentral.
GACGAACGCUGGCGGCGUGCCUAAUACAUGCAAGUAGAACGCACAGGAUGCACCGUAGUUUACUACACCGUAUUCUGUGAGUUGCGAACGGGUGAGUAACGCGUAGGUAACCUGCCUGGUAGCGGGGGAUAACUAUUGGAAACGAUAGCUAAUACCGCAUAAGAACAUUUACUGCAUGGUAGAUGUUUAAAAGGUGCAAAUGCAUCACUACCAGAUGGACCUGCGUUGUAUUAGCUAGUAGGUGAGGUAACGGCUCACCUAGGCGACGAUACAUAGCCGACCUGAGAGGGUGAUCGGCCACACUGGGACUGAGACACGGCCCAGACUCCUACGGGAGGCAGCAGUAGGGAAUCUUCGGCAAUGGGGGGAACCCUGACCGAGCAACGCCGCGUGAGUGAAGAAGGUUUUCGGAUCGUAAAGCUCUGUUGUUAAGGAAGAACGAGUGUGAGAAUGGAAAGUUCAUACUGAGACG